This 2066-nucleotide long non-coding RNA is filed under the name Sus scrofa (pig). Its description in RNAcentral is "lncRNA (ENSSSCG00050075497.1)". Lineage: Eukaryota; Metazoa; Chordata; Mammalia; Artiodactyla; Suidae. The record is from RNAcentral.
AGGUUGUGGGGUGCACGAGAGGAAAGGAGUGAUACAUGCAGAUGACUCAGAAAGGAAACUGCAUGAGGUUUUGGUGUCUUUGAAACUUUUAUCCUGACAGACAAAUUUUUUUUGUUUUUUUUAAAGGGUGGAAACAACUAAGUAUGUUCAAAUGCUGUUUGAAAGGAGUCAGUGGAGAAGAGGAAGAGAAGGAAGUGAUCAGUGGAGAAAUAUAUCAGAGGAAGUGGGAAACAUGUUCGGAGAGAAACAUAAAUUUAGGAGGACAAGGGAAUUCUUCGUGGGCUAAUUGGUGUUUAAAACAGACUUUGGAAGCUGAGUGAGGUUUCGCCAGAUGAAGGCAUUGAAAAAGAAUGGAAGGCUUUUAAAAAUUUAUUGGAGUGUAGUUGACUUACAAUGUUAUCUUAGUUUCGGGUGACCACUGCUGCUGCACAGCUUAGUAGCUGAGUUCUCCAGGGAACCUGUUUCCAGAUUUGAUUUAUGCCUGAGUGCAACCUCGUAGUCAUUUGGUGAAGGAAAUUAAAAAAUUGAUUGGUUACUUCCUCCGCUGCCUGUGGACACCUUGAUUGGCCAGCUGCCGGUGGCUAGGCAACCGGGCGGAGAAUCUUUGGAACAAGUAGCAGACUUCAUCACAGCAGGAGCGGUGAGGCAAGAAGCUCUGGGAUCAAUUAAAAUGCCAGGCUUUUCCAGGCUGGUUUCCAGCGCAUCUGUGCAUGAUUCCACAUAAAUUUAGGGAAUUAGAGAUCAGACAAAGGUAAACAUUUCUGUGCUUUGCUUAGCAUUGAUUUAGAAUGAGAGGAUGAAAUAUGUCACAGUCAUUCAGCCUGGAGGGGCUUUACACCUUCAGCUGAUUUUCCCCCCUCAAUUGCUUUAUUGUUUUAGGUAUGUUGUAAUCUAAGGCUGCUUAAAUCAUCUGCGUGUUCAUUUGAGGAGGGGAAGAGAAAAAGAAACAAAGGAAAAAUAAGUUUUAAUUUCAUAGACUAAACUGUAGAAUGUGACUUAUUCUUUUAUUUCAUAGUCACACCUCUAAAAGAAAAAAAUUAUUAAUGCUCUUUAUUUUCAAGCUAUUUGGUCUCCUGAGCUUGGUUGAGAUAAAAAGCUCAUUCAUGUCCCCAUAGAGAAGAAAAAGACAUUUUCUCCUUAAGAGUCUGUAAAAGUCUGACAUUUGCAGAACAUCCUUCCCUUUUAUUUUCUGUCUUCUUAUUUUAUCUAUCCCUUGGAGUGUACUGUUAUGACUUUUCCCCUAGUGCAGAAGUUAUGUAUUGCCUUUGUGUCAGGAAGGGGUUGAAUUUCCAGAGACUGCAUUAUACCUGGGCUGAGGUAAAGGAUUGAAGGUGAAUCUCUGAAGUAGCAAACAUCAAAACAAAAAGUCUAAAGUGAUGGGGAAAGUGCAGACAAGAGACUGGAUGAUAAAGACUAGGCAAAUGAAGUGCAAAUGAUAUUAUUUUAAACCCUAUAGAAAAAAAAUCAUGGACAUAGCACAGAAUUACCAUUUUAUUAAACAACAGAAAAAGUAUAAAGCUUUCAGUCUUGUUUCACUAAGCAUAACACUCUCUAUGUCUGCCCACAUUGUUGCAAAUGGAAAAAAAAUCAUUCUUUUCAUGGCUGAGUAAUAUUCCAUUGUAUAUACAUAUCACAUCCGUAUCCAUUCAUCUGUUGAUAGCCACUUAGGUUGCUUCUAUAUCUUGGCUAUUAUAAAUAAUGCAAACAGAGAAAGACAAAUACUCUAGGUUAUCACUUAUACAUGAAAUCUAAAAAACAAAAACAAAUGUGUACAAUAAAACAAAACAGAUAUAAAGAAACAGCUAGUGGUUACCAUUUGGAAGAGGGAAGUGGGGAUGGGCAAGACAAGGGAAGGGAUCAAGAGAUACAAACUACCCGGUAUAAAAGAAAUAAGCAACAAAGAUACAUUGUACAGCACAGCAAAAUAUAGCCAUUAUUUUGUAAUAACUUUAAGUGGAGUAUAAGCUGUAAAAUAUUGAAUCACUAUGUUGUACAUCUGAAACUAAUGUAAUACUGUAAGUCAACCAUACUUCAAUUAGAAAAAAAGAAAAAGAAAAGGCCAUCAG